This is a long non-coding RNA of Carassius gibelio (silver crucian carp), 3236 nucleotides long. RefSeq lists it as uncharacterized. The transcript is spliced from 9 exons. Lineage: Eukaryota; Metazoa; Chordata; Actinopteri; Cypriniformes; Cyprinidae. The record is from RefSeq and is a predicted model, not a curated record.
GGAUGCGCUUUAUUGUGAUUAAUCAUUUGACAGCACUAACUAUUUUGUGUUACACUGAAGUCAUGCUGUUUUGGGAACGACAUGAGGGUAAGUAAAUUAUGGCAAAAUUUUAAGUUUUGAGUGAAUUUACCCCUUUAAAUAUCAUUUUUUUUAAAUAUAUAUUUUUUAUUUCUUAUUAUGUGCAAGGCACUUUCAGCUUAAAGUCGGCAUUAAAGGGAAGUAGCAAUUGUCUUUUUUUCUCUACUGUGACGUCUAUCCGAGCGUAACGACAUUUGAAAUUGAUUUCGUCCUUCUGGAAUUGAUUGGAUCGUAGGAAGAUGGGGCGAUGCUAACAAAAUGGAGGCAGAUCUGAAUGCCAGUUAGCAGUUAGUUGUCGGGGAUUUCUCUCCACUAGAUGCACAGACGACUAAAUUAUUUUUUUAUUUAUUGAGGACAAUCAAUGGCACAUGAUCACGCGUGACAGAGAGUCUGCCUGAAUGACAGAUCAUGUCUUCCAUCUGGUUAAGUCGUAUUUAUUUAAAAAUAGUUUGUGCUGUCCUAAGAGUAAUGUUGUGGUAAUAUCAACAAGUCCUCCAACUCAUACGACCGUAUGGGUCGUUUGUCACUAUCCUUAAAUACGACCCACACGAGCGUUCUCUAAAUUAGCGCCCCUAUUGGCAACAGGAGAUGUUCGUGGAUUUUGAUGAUAUGGAUUUUAGAUGACUUCGAGACAUGUACAGUUUUGCAGUUUCUUCAUAUCACAUACAUCUCCAGCUCCUACAACAACAUUCAGUGUCCAGCAGCUCUUUAUGAUGCUCUCUCUCUCUCUCUCUCUCUCUCUCUCUCUCUCUCUCUCUCUCUCUCUCUUUCUCUCUCACUCUCUCUCUCUCUCUCUCUCUCAUUUUCCUUUCCUAUUUUUCUGAACUGUAAUUCAUAAAUAAGUCACACAUAUUUUUCUUUCUUUCUCUUGUUCAUCAUGGCAUAUUUUCACAGCUCAGAAUCAGAUUUUGAUCAGUUCUUGUAUUAACAGGGAACUUGUACUCGAAGCUCAACUUGAAGAAGUUUCCAGUGAAGAUGAAGUCCUUCAAAGGUUCGACACAGCUGAAAAGGAAGACCAUGGGCCUGUCAAACCUUGUUUGUGGAGAGGGAUGAAUUUGACCAUCUUGUGUGUUUACGGAGAAGACCAAAAGCUGCUAAGGCAGAUAUUUCCAGAGGUACAAACAGAGCGGAUGGUUGCAUGAUGGCCUCUUUCAGGUUUGUCAACUGAAUGUCUACUAGUGUGGCUCAGCAAGUUCCUGUCAUGAUCAGCCCUCUCCAAGAAAGCUGAAGAGCAAAAACACAAAGAACAUCAGUCCUGUUGGGGAUGAGGAAUGAACAUGGCUCUAUUGUGCCCAAACAGAAAAGAGUGAAAAGUCCUAGAAUGAACAAAUCAUCAGGGCAUCAUUUCUGGAAUUUGGGCAGAAAAUGACUGAAUAUGAAAGACUGCAGUAGAAGGAAAGCUGGUACUGAGAACAUUUGUCUUCACUCAAGACUAAAGAGAAGCGGGUCUGAGGCCAGAGAUGGAGGAGUCAAUGGUCACCAAAUGCAGCGCUGCAGCCUGAAACUGUGAAGACUGAAUUCCCAAACAGCUGUGUGACUGCACAGAUGUUACGGCCAUAAAAGAAACUUCACAACUGAGAGCCCAUACCUCCAACAACCUUCAACAGGAAUCAAUGGACAUCUACGCAAGGUUUUUCUUUUGUUGAGGACCGUCAGAGACUCCAGCCACACGAGCCAUGGAUUGCUCUCAACAUCACCAUCAGACGGACAUUAUCACAGAACCAGCACCAGCAGACUGCAAAACAAGUUCCUUCAACAGGCAAUCAGACUGAACUGAACUCGUACCAGUAACACCACACACACACACACACACACACAUACACACACCAGCAGCCUCAUACUGUGUGCACUGCACUCUAUCAGCUACACUGACUGGACUCUGACUCACUAUUAUUCUGCAACCUGAUAUUCUGUUUGCACUAAUUCAUACUGUACUGAAAGUGAAAGUGACGUGACAUACAGUCAAGCAUGGUGACCCAUACUCAGAAUUUGUGCUCUGCAUUUAACCCAUCCGAAGUGCACACACACAGAGCAGUGAACACACACACACUGUGAACACACACCCGGAGCAGUGGGCAGAGGUAUAUCUACAGUAUACAGUGAUUGUUGUUAAUUGUUUUCAUUUUGUUCUCUCUGUAUAGUAUAGUAUUGCACUAUAUUUUCUACCUGUAUUGAGCUCUUUUUUUGAUACUGUAUAUGUGUUGCAAAUAUAUUCAGUACUUGUCAUGCUGCAGUUUGCAGAAAAGCAUUUUACCACCUGUAUACUUGCAUUCAUGGUAUUGUGAUAAUAAAAUGAUUUGAUUUGAAUUGGUCACAUGACUUGUUCAUCAGUUGUAUUGUUGUGCUGGAUAACAAUUGCAAAUUGUUUAUGACAUUGAAGAAGAUCAUGAUAGAGACAUGGAUUUGAAGAAAACCAGGAGAGCUCUGAUGAUGAGAAGGAAACUGGAUGUGAUUCUUUGGUGCUCAAGACAUUUCACCAUGCCUUCAUCUGGGUUUCUUCAUCUGAUUAAAAUAAAAUGGUUUUAAUGUAACCCAUUUUUAUUUCACUUGAAUAUAAUUUGUCUUAAUAUGCUUCUUUAUCUGUCUUUAUGCUGCAUCCUAGUAAAAUAUUGCGUAUGGUGUUGGAUAAUCAAGUAUGGUGAAUAUUCUGUACUAGAGAUGGUUUUUUGGUAGAUACACCAUUUAAUUUUGUAAACAACACAUAUAAUCACCAUGGUUGUUUUGAUGAAGACAUGAACAUUUAGUAAUAUUAAUGAAAUUCAGUUAGAUGAAGAGCUGCAUUAGAAGAGACUGCAUGGACUUCAUGCACAACUGAAGGUGAUGAAUCAAGGAAAGAUCAACAUGAAUCCUGUUCUGUAUUAUAAUGAAGAUGUUCAUGCACAUUACUGAUGUCUAGCUCCUGAGCAGGACAAAGAUGAGACAUUCUUUACAGAGAUUUAUGAAUUAGGUAUUUUAUAUUAUGAUUCUUUAAAUUGCAUGAAUUGUAUGGAACCAUAAACUGCACACUGUCACACAUUGUCUUACUGAAUGACACAUUGGCCUUGUCUGAUGAAAUGUCAGAAUAUGUAUUUGUUGUCUUUGUUUACUAUUAGCACUGUAUUAUUGCUCUUGAUCUUAUGAAAUAAAUUGAGCUCUUUCCAAAUGGGCACUUAUGUUGA